Dendrobium catenatum is the source of this 595-nucleotide long non-coding RNA. RefSeq lists it as uncharacterized. The transcript has 2 exons. The record is from RefSeq and is a predicted model, not a curated record. Lineage: Eukaryota; Viridiplantae; Streptophyta; Magnoliopsida; Asparagales; Orchidaceae.
CUCAUUCCGUUGACCAACAGACAUAAUCCGUUAUUUUCUCCAAACGAGGAGGGCAAAUCCGCCACAAUAGUUAAUAAAAUCUGUCGGCCUCUUCUGCAAUUCCCUCCAAAAUGACUGAUUUUUGUUUUGCUCCCCUUACCAUUGCCGAUCCUCUUGUCUUCAAUAUUGGUUCGACCGUUCGAGCGUCUAGGGUUUUCUUCUCAGACAUUUACCACUGAUUCGGAUUGAUGCUCGUCCUAUAACGAAAAAUGUGAGCAUUAUUAGCGGUCUCUUAGUUGGGACCGAGUUUUUGAUGUACUAAUUUGAAGAAAUCAAAUGUGGAACCUUCUUGCCAUUAUCUAUGGACGUUAAUUGAGAUAUUGUAAAGCCUCAACUUGUUUGUUGUAAUUGUCUGUAUGAGCAAUUAGGCUCACAAAUCCUAUAUUUUUUUCUUUCCUUCUUCUUAACUCCUUGGAUAAAGGAUAUUUUGCCUUGGAAUGAAAUGAUGCAUCCUUUUUAGAUGUACAACACUAUCAUAAAAACAAGCAUUGUCAUUGUAUAUGUAUUGUUCUUAAUUGUUUCAAGAAAUUCCUCAGCCAAUUCAUUUCCUUGCCAA